RNAcentral lists this long non-coding RNA (1490 nucleotides) under Homo sapiens (human). RNAcentral's name for it is "HSALNT0111062". Lineage: Eukaryota; Metazoa; Chordata; Mammalia; Primates; Hominidae. The record is from RNAcentral.
CAGCCUUGGCCAGCCCAGAAAAGGGCUCCCGCAGUGCAGUGGGGGGGGGCUGAAGGGUUCCUCAAAUGCCACCAAAGUGGGAGCCCAGGCAGGGGAGGUGCCGAGAGCAAGCGAGGACUCUGAGGACUGCCAGCAUGCUGUCAGCUCUCAGAAGCACUGCACUGUCUCCCUCUUGCAGUGUUUCCCUCUUUUCAGGGACCCAGGAUUCGAGGUUUUCAAAUAUUAUUUUCUACAAGUUGGAUUGAAUCUUAAAUUCUUUCCAGGUUACAAGUCUCCAAGAAUUCCAGGAACUGGCCUUAGAAGAUAACCAUGGUUGUGAAGUGUCCCAUCUCUGGAAGAAAUGCUGAACAACUGAUUUACAGCUUUGUUGCCACUGGCCAGACCACCAGGUGGUCCAUUACUCAAGAUAAUCAUCACAACCAGAUAAUGCUGCUCUGCAAACUCCACCCCUCAUGUGCUUUGCCCAGCUCAGCCCACACAUACCCUACCCCUGAUGUCAAUUCCUGCAUAGUGCCUAAUUAAAAAGCCAUACUGGCUCUUUCUGGGGAGUCAGUCAAGGAAUCUUCUCUCUCUCUCUCUCUUUCUCUCUGUCUUGCUGCCUCCCUUAUGCCCAGGCAUAAGCUCCAGUGAAGCUUUGUCUGGGAAUCUCUUUCAGCCUCAUGUCAAUUUCUGUUAACUGGAGAGCCCAAGAACACAUGGUGGGUAACACAAACACAACAUGAAACUAAAGUUUUAUUUUCCAAGACAAAGCCCCAAUGGAACCUUUCCUCGCUAUUUCCUGAGACAUGUUGUCUGCCUUUUAAGAGGAUACAUGUGAGUAGCUGACCCCCAGAACUACUCUUUCCCCACAUAAUGAGGGCCUCCCAUGUCUCAUUUGUUUUUAGAGCUCCAUGACCAGCUAUGUCAUUUGGGCUUGAUUUUAUAGGUGGAGAAACUGAGGCCCAGAGGACACAUAUGGGGAGUGCAUGACCCAGUGUUUUGCCCAGGUCAACUUGACUCCCACAGUCAAGCGCGGCCCCGUUAGCUGAUUCCCAGCGGACUGAUAACCGUCUCUGGAAUGAAGCAGGGAGUGACUGAAUCAGGAAACCCAUCAACAGUGCUACCUACCCGUCUACUUGGAAAAGAAGAGGAAUUCCCACAAGCAGCUCUGGGAGACCUCUUAAUGCCCAGGGACACCUACAUCUCUCUGUCAAUCUCUUCUCCAGGUCAGCUCCAACUCUCAGGGUCUUUUCAGGGGCCUGACCCUCCUGCUUCGGCCCCCCAGUGAAUGAGGCCUCUCCUGGCCUGCCCCCUUCUCCCCGCCUCCCCAGAAUAUCCCUUUCCACUCUUUCAAAUGAACCUAAUCUGUGUCUGCUCCUGCCCAACCGCAUCUUCUGCCAGGCAGUUGGUGCCUGAAACCAGCUCAUGAGAGUUUCUAGCCCUGGAGAGAAGUGCGCAGCACAUUGGCUGCACCCAUAGCUCUGGCUUUUGUGAUCUGACCCAGAAAAGCC